GAGCUCCAGAGCCGGCCCAGCCGGGUCCC
This 29-nucleotide non-coding RNA is filed under the name Cricetulus griseus (Chinese hamster). Lineage: Eukaryota; Metazoa; Chordata; Mammalia; Rodentia; Cricetidae. The record is from RNAcentral.